UCAUCCGAGGCCCCGUAAUCGGAAUGAGAACACUCUAAAUCCUUUAACGAUGAUCUAUUGGAGGGCAAGCCUGGUGCCAGCAGCCGCGGUAAUUCCAGCUCCAAUAGCGUAUAUUAAAGUUGUUGCGGUUAAAAAGCUCGUAGUUGGUUCUGCGUGCCACGCUGUCGGUUCACCGCCUGCCGGUGCAACUGGCAUGCCGUGGCAUGUCCUGUCGGUGGCGGAUAGGCCUCCCGGCGUGCCCUAUGCGGUAUACCAGCGUGUAGGCUGCUGCUCCGGGGGUGUCCUUGUACGCCGACUCAAUCCUACCGCGGUGCUCUUUACCGAGUGUCGAGGUAGGCCGACACUGUUUACUUUGAACAAAUUAGAGUGCUUCAAGCAGGCUCUUAAAUCAGCCUGAAUAGUGGUGCAUGGAAUAAUGGAACAGGACCUUGGUUCUAUUUUGUUGGUUUCCGGAAUCCAAGGUAAUGAUCAAUAAGGACAGGCGGGGGCAUUCGUAUUGCGACGUUAGAGGUGAAAUUCUUGGAUCGUCGCAAGACGCACUAAAGCGAAAGCAUUUGCCAAGUAUGUCUUA
Molecule: ribosomal RNA, 571 nt
Filed under: Spilostethus hospes
Lineage: Eukaryota; Metazoa; Arthropoda; Insecta; Hemiptera; Lygaeidae
Description: SSU rRNA
Rfam family: Eukaryotic small subunit ribosomal RNA
Source: RNAcentral